This 274-nucleotide ribosomal RNA is filed under the name uncultured prokaryote. RNAcentral describes it as "partial 16S ribosomal RNA". It matches the Rfam family "Bacterial small subunit ribosomal RNA", at positions 524 to 796 of the family's 1533-position model. The record is from RNAcentral.
UACGGAGGGGGCUAGCGUUGUUCGGAAUUACUGGGCGUAAAGCGCACGUAGGCGGCUUUGCAAGUCAGAGGUGAAAGCCCGGGGCUCAACCCCGGAAUUGCCUUUGAGACUGCAUCGCUAGAACGUCGGAGAGGUAAGUGGAAUUCCGAGUGUAGAGGUGAAAUUCGUAGAUAUUCGGAAGAACACCAGUGGCGAAGGCGACUUACUGGACGACUGUUGACGCUGAGGUGCGAAAGCGUGGGGAGCAAACAGGAUUAGAUACCCCGAGUAGUCC